This is a long non-coding RNA of Esox lucius (northern pike), 2338 nucleotides long. The record is from Ensembl. Lineage: Eukaryota; Metazoa; Chordata; Actinopteri; Esociformes; Esocidae.
AGCAAGGAGCAGCCAGUUCAGUGUGUUCCUGUGUGUGUAUUCACUGCCUGCUUUCCUAGCCAAGGUAGAGAGACCUCUGUGAGCCUGCAUGCAUGUGUGUGUGAGUGUGUCUGUACCCGUGCCUGUCUCGCGAGCCAGCCUGCGAGUGAGAGAGCUUGUUGUGUGUGUGUGUGUGUGUGUGUGUUUGCAGGAGGGAGAGAGGGGGAGUAUUGUGCACUGUGGAUGUUGCCUCAUGCUUUAACCAGCCUGUCUGCGAGCCCAGGUACUGCCUGCCUGCCUUCGCGCCGGCUUCUAAAUAAGCAGCACAUUCACCGUCCCCUUCAGGACAGGAGGCUAGGCUGCAGAGUGUGAAAUCACACUAAUAGUCAGUACAGUAGCUAGCGCUGAGCAGGAACCCGCUCCUGUCUCACUACUCACACAGUGGGCAGAGGACACGCAGCACAAGAAGAAACAGUAGGACUUCAGAGGGAGAGGGAAGGAAAAAAAACCCAGAAAGGUCUGUGAAGAAGGUACCUGGUAAUACCGCGACAACUAUCGCUUAGGUUCAGUCUGGCUGUGUGAGGAGGGAGGCGUUUGAACAGUCUGAGCUCCUGCCUCCUAAUGGAGGCGCGGCCAUCCUGAAAGGAAGUCUGUGUUUCUGACGACCCGGGAAUCUUAAUCCAACCCAAUAGCUUUGGAAAACCCUGGAAAUACCUGGACUUUCUAGGAGUACAUCACCAAACAUCUGAAGGUGCCCAGGCACCUGGAAAAUAUAGCUUUAGAUUGUAUGUUUAUUAUUUUAGCAUAUACCAAGAAAGAGUCCAAAGUCUGAACAGUAGCAAUAGCAUUCGGCCAUCCAUCCACCAGCACAUCACCGACAACCAACAACCUGCUGUGACAGAGAGGGGCGUGACCUUUCUGGCUGCCGGCUUCAAACGGACACUUGAAAAGCAGGGCGACUCUAACCAAGAGGCUUCCGUGCGGCGGCGACUCUAACCAAAAAAAACCAUCAGGUAAGGCUGUGAAGUUCUCCCUGCUCCCGCUGGCCUGGCCCUAAGCCCUUUAACUCCUUCGGGGCUUUGAAGCUGGCCAGCCCUGCAGCCGUGUCCCAGCACACAGCCGGCCAUCCUGGGAGGCAGCAUGCAGGAAGGGCUGCUGGUAAACGGCCUGCUUUCAUGCUCUGCUCUCCUGUUUGUUCCCUUUGGAUUAGAGGCUGUGGAUGUGUGGAGGUUGUCUGGCUGAUAGAUGCUAACCCUGGGCUCUUUACUGAUGCCCCGCAGGCCCUGGCUCUGACCACAGAGAGCACAUCUCUGCACAUGUGACGGGGAAACGUGUGGCCGCUUGGCUUGGUUGACCAGGGAAGGGUGGUGGCAGCUCAUCAUACACACACACACACAUUUAUAUAUACCUACAGACUGACAAAAGCACACAUGCUGUCCUAGCCAUCUCCUAACAUUUUUGUUAAUACAGAAUAUGUAUACUUUCUAAUUUCUAUACAGAAUAUAUAUAAACUGACACGCACAUGCAUUUUCAUUUGUGGUCACACAAAUACACACACACCUUCACGUGGUAAUGGGAGGUUUUUCCUGGUGUUUUCAGUAAAGGGACUGUUGAUAGUUCCAGGAUGAGGAUUAUACAGUUCAUUAAGGGGAGAGGACUGGGUUUCCAGCAGAUAAAAUGUCAUAUCUGGUCUUUAGCUAAGUGUGUGUAUUUUUGCGCGUGCAUGUGUGGCCGUGCGAGGGUGUGGGUGUGUGCAUACAUACGCAUGCAUUUUGGCAUCCAUGUGUGUUUGAUUUUCCAUUUGAAUAAGUGUGUCUGUCUGUACGUAGGGAAUGUGGACAUGUGUGGCUCCUGGUUCAGGGGUCAGUAUUUCCAUACAGAGUGACUCUGAGAUCUGGCCUGGGUUUCAGUGUGCCACUGGCACAGCCAGAUAUUGUAGCAGCACAGAUGAAGGCUUGGAGAUGACGCUUUACUAGGAUCUGAUACCAUGACAUCGAAUUAACGUGCUGUCGUGCAACCAUGUCUAGUUGGUUGGAAACACUAAAUCCCAUAUUUAGUUGGAUCAUGAUGCCCGAUCUAGGAAAAAUAUUAAGCAUUUUUGUGUUUGCUUUUGCAUUUGUAUUUAUUCACUGGAAUCAGAGUUACUGAGGUUUAGGUUUUAUUCUGGUAAUACUGUGGCACUUAAUGUCAUGUCCUGGCAUGGCAGACCAGUGAGAUCCACUCCCUCCCUCAUUUGGAUCAAGGACACCUGUUAGUUGUUAUUGCCUCCCCAGUGUUCCUGAUCACUGGCCCUAUUUCAGCUCCUCCUUCCCCAGUGUAUCUUGUCAGCCAUUGUUUUGGAUUUCAUUCCUUGUUUCAA